GACGAACGCUGGCGGCGUGCUUAACACAUGCAAGUCGAACGGAAAGGCCCUGCUUUUGUGGGGUGCUCGAGUGGCGAACGGGUGAGUAACACGUGAGUAACCUGCCCUUGACUUUGGGAUAACUUCAGGAAACUGGGGCUAAUACCGGAUAGGAGCUCCUGCUGCAUGGUGGGGGUUGGAAAGUUUCGGCGGUUGGGGAUGGACUCGCGGCUUAUCAGCUUGUUGGUGGGGUAGUGGCUUACCAAGGCUUUGACGGGUAGCCGGCCUGAGAGGGUGAACGGCCACAUUGGGACUGAGAUACGGCCCAGAGUGCUACGGGAGGCAGUAGUGGGGAAUAUUGCCCAAUGGGCGGAAGCCUGAUGAAGCAACGCCGCGUGCGGGAUGACGGCUUUCGGGUUGUAAAAAGCUUUAGCCUGUGACGAAGCGUGAGUGACGGUAAUGGGUAAAGAAGCACCGGCUAACUACGUG
This 468-nucleotide ribosomal RNA is filed under the name uncultured bacterium. Its description in RNAcentral is "partial 16S ribosomal RNA". It matches the Rfam family "Bacterial small subunit ribosomal RNA", at positions 28 to 507 of the family's 1533-position model. The record is from RNAcentral.